AGUAAACUCCUGUCUGCUUGGCUGGGGCUCAAAUGACAGGUUGUGCGAAGCUGCCGAUGUCAACUGACCUCAAAUAAUUGUAUUUAAGCAAUUUACUGCUUUUCCGGAGCUGCGUCUGUUUUCUUCAUGACUUUGCUCCCCUCCCUGAAAUGGGGCCUGUCCUGUGCUCAGAAGGCUGCGUGGUCAGUGUCCUGCGAAGACUCAGCCCCUGCGGGAAGGGGACGUCGUGAGUGGGGACAGGCCGGGGGACAGACGGACGGCCGCGGCAGGCGUAAUCGGGGAAGGAAGGGGGGGUGAGUGGGAGGAGCAAAACUGGAUGCAGUUAAUCCAAGUACACUCCAAUAAAAGAGAAAACAUUCUUCCACGAGCGCUUACAAACAAUUGUGUCACGGUGUUACUGUGACAUGACUUGUAAAUGUUUCUUUUUCCUGCCAUAUUAAACGAAGAGACAGGUGCGGUGGUGAGUGCCUGAACUCCCAGCAUUUGGGAAGCUGAGGCACAAGGGUUUUCUUGCUUUCAAGGCCAUUCUGGGCCUUGAAAUCCGCUGGGCCAUCCAGGGGAUUAAGCACCACCCUGAAGGUGUAGCAAAACUCUGCCUCAAGAAAACAAAAUGAUAAAACGAUAGCGAAAUAAAAGACAGGUGGUGAAACCUGUCACCCUGUCUCUGUCUCUCUGUCUCUGUCUCUCUGUCUCUGUCUCUCUGUGUCUCUCUCUGUCUCUGUCUCUCUGUGUCUCUGUCUCUGUCUCUCUUUCUGUGUCUCUCUGUGUCUCUCUCUGUCUCUGUCUCUCUGUCUCUCUGUCUCUGUCUCUCUGUCUCUGUCUCUCUGUGUCUCUCUCUGUCUCUGUCUCUCUCUGUCUCUUUCUCUCUGUCUCUGUCUCUCUCUCUGUGUCUCUCUCUGUCUCUGUCUCUUUCUCUGUCUCUCUGUCUCUGUCUCUCUGUCUCUGUCUCUGUCUCUCUGUCUCUGUCUCUCUGUCUCUGUCUCUGUCUCUCUGUCUCUGUCUCUCUGUCUCUGUCUCUCUGUCUCUGUCUCUGUCUCUUUCUCUGUCUCUCUGUGUCUCUGUCUCUGUGUCUCUGUCUCUGUCUCUCUGUCUCUGUCUGUGUCUGUGUCUCUGUCUCUGUCUCUGUCUCUCUCCUUAGUUACCUCUUUUCAUUACCAGCUUCCCCCGUGAUUGCUUCUGCUCCUAGCAAUCCAGGCUUUGCUCAGAAUCUGCUUUCCGUCUCCUGAUAUCACCCCUCCAGUUGCCCUCGCUAGUGUGAGGAUCUACACGUGUAGCUACCCUCGUGCGUUCACAAGCAAGUGGGUUCUCUGCUACUUACGAAUAGAAACCACCAUGAAGAUGAAGCAGGGUUAAGCAAACACUACUGUAAAGUUAUUCACGGCAACAGUUACGGCAUCGCUAUAGACACUCCUCACCUAAUGACCUAGUUGUACUCCUGUGACCAGGUCAUUAACUGAAUUGGCUGCUAACUGAGGAACUGUUUGCAGCAUGCACAUUUCCAAGGCAGAACAAAGAAUUGGUCAAAGAAACGCCAGCAUGAUGGCUUGGUUUUAUUUGCAUAAUUUGGCCUCCAGUACGGACGGAAGGUAAGACAACACCAAGCUGCAGUUCUAUGUGAUGUAGUACAACCAGCAAAAAUGAUGGUAUUGAUUAAGCAGGGUGUACCGUUCAGAAAGUCAUCGGAGGUCUACAAAUCAGGCGUGCAGAACUGUAUGUAUUGUAUUACAGCCGUAAGGCCCAGCAGUGCGGCAGAAAUCCCAACAGCUCGGCUCAGCCAGAUUCAGACACUGAUGAGAAAGUAGAUCACUGAACGUGGCCUACGUGGCGUGAACACUGCCGUGGUCGGUGUUUGAAGAGAAAUGGGUUAUUUAUGUGGUGUGUAGCCUGCCAAAGAUACUAAUUACAAAGGGGAAGAAGGAACUAUAUUGCCGAUUCUGUCAAAUACCAUAAAAGGAAAAAAAUGAAUCAGUACCGAUCCCAGCAGCACUGGAACGUAUGCCACCAAGGAUGUCUGCGCCCAGCAAAUCAAGGGAGGGCACUUUCCUACAGCGUCCCUGGUCAGUGCAUGACCCGACUGUCAUAACCCAGAACGAGGAGGAUGCUGUAUCAAAAGUCUCUCAUUGCCAACUCCUGCCCCGGUAUCGAUGGAAGCGUGGCCCGGGUGAGCCUGCCGCCGGCUUUGGGACAUCGGUUUGGCCGGAAUUCCUUGCGUACUUACAGACGGUGCACACUGCUUGGCGUGUCACUUGCAGAGCUGAAGAGGAGCAGACCGGUGUGUUCAGUUUGAAAAGCUGGAUGAAUCUGUCUGAUCCCCCGUGGAAACACUUUGCUGAUUUGUUCAGAGUUCUACAUUUAAGUGUCCAAAUCAUUCUGGUUAUUAACGUUGUUCUGACCCAUCACACAUUUCUGUGUGGACAGUGGGAGGGACGCUGGGGUCAGGAUCGUCACCACCACUGCUUAAACACGUUCUGUGCGGCAGGACCAGGUCACGGCAGCACUGACCGCUGGCGGACAGGUGAACUAUUACGCUGCACUGUGUCUUCUUUGAGAAGAUUUAUGGCUCUGCGGCGUCCGGCUCUGGGAGACUCACAAAACUACGGAUUGUGUUUUGGAUGUCAGGUUGCGUCAGUGCUUCCCGUAACUUUGAGAUGUUAAAUGUUUAAACAAUUCGUAGCAUUCCCUUAUAAUAAAUCACUAGGUUUUAUCUGUGUUACCAUCUUUUCGUGAUCAGAUUAUAAACCCCUGCUGAAUGACAAAGGCUUGCUUUUCUGUCUCCACUCAAGUGGAGGUCGUGAGUUCAAUUCCUGGUAUCAAAAAAUCAAUAAAUAAAAGUAAAAUUUAAUGAUAAAGCGGGCGAUGUGGCUCAGUGACACAGCACCUGCCGGGCAAGUGCAAGGUCCUGAGUUCCAUUCCUGGUACCAAAAUAAAGUAAGUAAAUGACAGAGUCUACAAAAUUUAAUGACAAAAAAACCCCGACAGUGUACACACAGCAUGUUAGUGGCUCUGAAAAUUGCGCACUACGUGUAGUCUGUAAAACAUUGCUAUGUUAAUAGAUGUCUUCCUGGAGCACUGAAAGACGUGUCUGCUAAUUUCCGUAUUGUUUGGAGACCCAUCAACACUUGAGCACACGUACAGAAAUUGACAGUAAUAAAAUGAUAAAAUAUGACACCCAAUUAGCAAAUUCUUGCUAGCAUAACGGACUGUGUGCAGAAAAGAUUCAAACACAAGCCAGUGGAACCACAAAGGAAAAUUCGAUUUUGGUAUCAUGUUACCCGCGAUGACUAAAUGUGAACCAUAAAGAAAAGAAAACAAAAUACCAAGGCUUCUGUUAUGCAAGAAACACUCACUUCGUAUUUGGAUCUAGCGCAGGGCCACAGAAACACAAUUAUCAUGUACUUUGAGGCAGCAUCGAGCUCCUGUAGUUACUCUUUUUUGGUGCUGGGGCUUCGCCCUGUUCCCCAGACUGCUCCGAACUUACUAGGACCCUCCUGACUCAGCCACUUGAGUGCCGGGAUGACAGGCGUGAGCCACUUCAUCUGCUUAAAUAUUUAUUCUUUUUCAAAUUGUUUUCCCAAAUCCAUUUUAUUUCAAUGAACAAAAGCAGCAUAAAAUUAAAACAGAAUUUCACAAUGCUUCCAUCAGGGGGCAGCAGUGGUACAUACAGAGCACAUUGUCACCCCUGAAUCCUUCACCAGGGCACAAAACAUCUACAUUCAAUUGUCUGAAAAGCGCGAGCACAAAUCCUUCUCUUCAGUCAUCUCAGACGUAUAAUUAUCUUAACCAUUUUAUACAUACACAUACACAUGUUAUUCCAGUGUUUACACUAAUGACACAGAACUAUGUUCACACCUGUCUUAUUUGUUUUUUUUUUUUAACAAAUUUUGUUUUAUCGGUACCAGGGACUGAACUCACAACCGUGCGCUUGCAAGGCAGGCACUUAUGCCACUGAGCUAAAUCCCCAGCCCCGUGUUACUUAUUUCACCGAGUGUGAUCUCUUGCAUCCAUUUGCCUACAAAAGUCUUCAGUUCAUCCUUCUUUAUGGCUGUGUAGUACUCCACUAUAAAAAAAUACCACAACUUUUUUAUCCAUUCCUCAGACGAAGGGCACUUAGGUUGUUUCCAAGAUCGGGCUAUUACAAACUGUGCCGCUAUAAACAUGCGUGCACAUGUAUCACUGUGGUACGAUGUUUUUAAUGCUUUGGGGAAGAUUCCCAGAAGGGAAUAGCUGGGUUGAAUGGCCUUCUGGUUUUUGAGGAAUCUUGACACUGAGCUCCACAGUGGCUGCACCGUCUGCAUUCCCACCAACAGUGGAGCAGGGCUCCUUUUCAGACGUCUUGUGCUCCAAGUGAAUGUUUUGACGAUGCCCAUGUCCAGUGGAUUUACCAUGGCUGCCCGCUGAUUAAUGCCCUUUGAAAUUUUAUUGUAGGUUUUUGCUUUUUUAUGCUUGAAAUAAAAUGGAUUUGAAAAAUAAAUAAAUUAAACUCACUUAUUUAUUAUUCACAGCGAAAGACCAUCAUAGUCUUUACUGAUGCAACUAAAAUCUUUCUAAACUUUGUGUUUCUUUGGGGUGAAAAUAUUUAAUUUGCUUUUGAAGAUAUUUAUAUUUUUGCCGUUAGCUUUGUUGCCUGCUGUGCUGGGCUCUAACUCAGGUCCCUGUGUAUGCUGUGCAUGUGUUCCACUGUGGUUGUGCAUCCGUAACUUUAAGAUGUUAAAAUUUUAAACAAUGCAUAGCAUUUCCUUAUAAUAAAUCACUAGGUUUUAUCUGUG
Molecule: long non-coding RNA, 4766 nt
Organism: Cavia porcellus (domestic guinea pig)
Lineage: Eukaryota; Metazoa; Chordata; Mammalia; Rodentia; Caviidae
Exons: 2
Source: RefSeq, a predicted model, not a curated record